RNAcentral lists this long non-coding RNA (716 nucleotides) under Rattus norvegicus (Norway rat). Its description in RNAcentral is "long non-coding RNA NONRATT026391". Lineage: Eukaryota; Metazoa; Chordata; Mammalia; Rodentia; Muridae. The record is from RNAcentral.
AGCAGUAGGCCGGACUCCCCGCUCUCUCGGUCUUAGCGCCAUCUUCCUUGAGACUCCUGCGCCAUGAGAGCGAAGGUGAGCGGUUCAUAAGUGGUGAGCUUGGGCGGUAGGAAGGAAUUGUGAGGCGGAAAAUCAGGCAGUGAAUCUCCGCCAUGGUUCUUCAUCGGGUUUGCAAACGGUUUGCUUCGGGUUUUCACAGAGCCGAGUACAGGCUUAAGUCGUAGCUGGAGGAAGGUGGGAAAACAAGAUUCGGAUCUAAAAUUGAGCCAGUGCCGCACCAACUCUUGAUUCUUUGUCAAACCUGUUUUCUGAGUAAUGUUCUUACCCGGGCCUACUGCUAACAUUCUUUUUUGUCUUCUCACAUGAUCGGGCUUUUAGUGGCGGAAGAAGAGAAUGCGCAGGCUGAAGCGCAAGAGAAGAAAGAUGAGGCAGAGGUCCAAGUAAACCAUCUUGUGCACCCACGAAGCCUGCGGGAGCAGAAGUAAGGGAUGCUGAAGCCCGGAACAAGUGGUUGGACUGUAUGCUGCUGUCGGUAAUAAGUCUCAGUAGACCCGGAAUGUCACCUCGCCGAGAUCAGCUGGGAAAAUGACUACCUUCCUCACAACCAAAACAGUCCCGCUGGCCCUCUGCCCUGGACCUUUGGCAUUCUGGACUAGUUCUGUUCUCUUGUGGCCAAGUGUAACUCGUGUACAAUAAACCCUCUUGCUGUCAGCUGA